GAUGAACGCUGGCGGCGUGCCUAACACAUGCAAGUCGAGCGAACAGACGAGGAGCUUGCUCUUUUGACGUUAGCGGCGGACGGGCGAGUAACACGUGGAUAACCUACCUAUUAGACUGGGAUAACUACGGGAAACCGGAGCUAAUACCGGAUAAUACAUUGAACCGCUGGGUUCAAUAGUGAAAGACGGUUUUGCUGUCACUUAUAGACGGAUCCGCGCCGCAUUAGCUAGUUGGUAAGGUAACGGCUUACCAAGGCAACGAUGCGUAGCCGACCUGAGAGGGUGAUCGGCCACACUGGAACUGAGACACGGUCCAGACUCCUACGGGAGGCAGCAGUAGGGAAUCUUCCGCAAUGGGCGAAAGCCUGACGGAGCAACGCCGCGUGAGUGAUGAAGGUCUUCGGAUCGUAAAACUCUGUUAUUAGGGAAGAACAGAUGUGUAAGUAACUAUGCCCGUCUUGACGGUACCUAAACAGAAAGCCACGGCUAACUUCGUG
This 497-nucleotide ribosomal RNA is filed under the name uncultured bacterium. RNAcentral's name for it is "partial 16S ribosomal RNA". It matches the Rfam family "Bacterial small subunit ribosomal RNA", at positions 28 to 507 of the family's 1533-position model. The record is from RNAcentral.